This 467-nucleotide ribosomal RNA is filed under the name uncultured microorganism. Its description in RNAcentral is "bacterial SSU rRNA". It matches the Rfam family "Bacterial small subunit ribosomal RNA", at positions 9 to 524 of the family's 1533-position model. The record is from RNAcentral.
GAGUUUGAUCAUGGCUCAGAGCGAACGCUGGCGGCAGGCCUAACACAUGCAAGUCGAACGAACUCUUCGGAGUUAGUGGCGGACGGGUGAGUAACACGUGGGAACGUGCCUUUUGGUUCGGAAUAACUCAGGGAAACUUGUGCUAAUACCGAAUGUGCCCUUCGGGGAAAGAUUUAUCGCCAUUAGAGCGGCCCGCGUCUGAUUAGCUAGUUGGUGAGGUAAAGGCUCACCAAGGCGACGAUCAGUAGCUGGUCUGAGAGGAUGAUCAGCCACAUUGGGACUGAGACACGGCCCAAACUCCUACGGGAGGCAGCAGUGGGGGAUCUUGCGCAAUGGGCGAAAGCCUGACGCAGCCAUGCCGCGUGAAUGAUGAAGGUCUUAGGAUUGUAAAAUUCUUUCACCGGGGACGAUAAUGACGGUACCCGGAGAAGAAGCCCGGCUAACUUCGUGCCAGCAGCCGCCGUAAC